CGGAGCCAGAGGCCACAGCUGUGAUGGACUUCGUUGGUGGGAUGGUUGACCAGACUCUGUGUUUCCUCACCAUCCACUCGGCUGGGCAGCUCAUUCUCAUGCCCUACGGCCACCCGGAGAUCUCUGCACCCAACUACAAUGAACUGGUCUCAGUCGGCAAGGCAGCAGCAGCAGAGAUGGAGAAGUUUCAUGGAAUGACGUACACUGUUGGA
Limanda limanda (common dab) is the source of this 212-nucleotide long non-coding RNA. RefSeq lists it as uncharacterized. NCBI's taxonomy places the organism in Eukaryota, Metazoa, Chordata, Actinopteri, Pleuronectiformes, Pleuronectidae. The record is from RefSeq and is a predicted model, not a curated record. The transcript has 3 exons.